RNAcentral lists this ribosomal RNA (405 nucleotides) under uncultured bacterium. RNAcentral describes it as "partial 16S ribosomal RNA". It matches the Rfam family "Bacterial small subunit ribosomal RNA", at positions 30 to 526 of the family's 1533-position model. The record is from RNAcentral.
AUUGAACGCUGGCGGCAGGCCUAACACAUGCAAGUCGAACGAGUGGCGGACGGGUGAGUAAUGCUUGGGAAUCUCGCUUAUGGAGGGGGAUAACUACGGGAACCUGUAGCUAAUACCGCGUACCAUAGGCUGAGCCCAAGUGGGAUUAGGUAGUUGGUGAGGUAAAGGCUCACCAAGCCGACGAUCUCUAGCUGGUCUGAGAGGCGGACCGGCCACACUGGGACUGAGACACGGCCCAGACUCCUACGGGAGGCAGCAGUGGGGAAUAUUGCGCAAUGGGGGAAACCUGACGCAGCAAUGCCGCGUGAGUGAAGAAGGCCUUCGGGUUGUAAAGUUCUUUCGGUAGCGAAGCGGUAACUACAGAAAAAGCACCGGCUAACUCCGUGCCAGCAGCCGCGGUAAUAC